GUGUUGUAUGAAAGGAGAGAAGGUUAGCACUCCCCUUGACAAGGACGGAAGAGGCUCCAGGGCCUUUACAAUACAUAUACGGUUAAGGCAUUGCCACCUACCUUGUGGCGUCUUACCCAAUUUUUAU
Small nuclear RNA from Eptatretus burgeri (inshore hagfish), 127 nucleotides. The record is from Ensembl. NCBI's taxonomy places the organism in Eukaryota, Metazoa, Chordata, Myxini, Myxiniformes, Myxinidae.